Molecule: long non-coding RNA, 315 nt
Organism: Felis catus (domestic cat)
Lineage: Eukaryota; Metazoa; Chordata; Mammalia; Carnivora; Felidae
Exons: 2
Source: RefSeq, a predicted model, not a curated record
GGCGACGAGUGCGCAGAGGACCAGGUUCGAACCUGCAAUAAACGACCCUUGCCGCUUGGCUUUGACUUACGACUCUGGUGGACUUUUGUGGGAGGUUUCGGAACUUCGGGCAUUACAUUUGGAGGUCCCACCGAGAUCUCCUCCGAGCCCACCAGACUUCUGGUCAACGGGUCGUAUCUGAUUCCGAUCGGGAACUCCAGCACAUCCACCAGGAAGUUUGGUCCAGAUUGAGAGCCAUUUAUGAGAACGGGCCCCCUCCUGAGCCGCAUCACUACCGACCCGGAGACUGGGUAUACGUGCGGAGACAUAAGCGAA